Molecule: long non-coding RNA, 5411 nt
Organism: Cavia porcellus (domestic guinea pig)
Lineage: Eukaryota; Metazoa; Chordata; Mammalia; Rodentia; Caviidae
Exons: 2
Source: RefSeq, a predicted model, not a curated record
GCUGCCCACACCGCAAGCAGAGCGGUCUUUUGGAAACAGGAUGGACCAGCUGCCCUCCUAGCUGAAGCUCUCACGAUCCCCGGGAACUGGCAGUCACUCUGUCACCCCCUAGGACCGUGCACACUGUGCUUUUGGAGAUCUGGCCCCACCCACGGCUUUGCCUUGGGUUAUUUUUGUCUCCUCAAACAAGGAUAUCAAAGGAAGCUGGUGAAAGCUUCCCUGUACUGUCAACCAGAGCAGACAGACGGACAGAAGGGACAUUCUGUCCAAUUAUCCAGAAGAGACUGUACCCCCUAGGGCCUGAGAUGCCCUCCCCCAGUCCCAGGGACCGGACUGCAAAUGGCAAAUGCUGCCUGGAGAAGUCUGUGGGCAUCAGGUCUGGGCUCUGUGAGUACAAAAGCAGGCGGCCGAGCAAUGGGGGUGGGGCGGGGUGGGAGAAAAGACUCUGUUCUCCCAUGGAGGAGCUGUGAGAGCCCUGCAGAUUCAUGGUGAUAAGGAGCUUAGAGCAGAGCCCACGAUUGAUCUCUCUGCCAUCUGAGGGAUUUGCAGACUUUGAGCGGGCCUGGGGCUAUCUCCGUGUUACAGCCUCCUUGGGACUGUGUGGAUGAGCCUUAUCUGAUUCCCGGGGGAAAUCAUUUCGAGGAAGCCAUGCCAGGAUGUCUCACAAGGCCUGCUGUCUCCCAGCAGGGGAAAGCUGCCCUGGAAGGAAGGAAGUGGACCUCACCCGAAUAUGACACUCUUCCUCUGGAAGGAUCAGAGGCCUUGUCCUCUGUGGGGUCAGCACCAGGGCACAUUGGAGAUGCCACGCCCUUGCUGUGAGUUCUACAGCUUGAGUCCCAACUGAUAGAAUAUGCCCUGAGCCGGAAAGCCCUUAGCACUUGGGGUACAUUAGUGGGGACAUCCAGACAUCCUGCCUGGAGUUGCCCUUGGCUGCUCUGCUGGACCCCACCUGCAGCUGCUAAGUGAACAUAGGCCUUCUAUGAGCUCAGUGUGCAGGAGAUGUCACAGUCACCCUGGCUAUUAGUGACUCUGAUCAAAGAGCCCAACGGUGGCCCAGCCCACAUGCUCAUGUGGUAGAUUCCUGUCCACCACUAACCCUGAAAAGAGCAAUAACAGGAAGAUGUCAUUCUGCUAUCAAAACCAGACAGUCCUGACCCCAGCAAGGGAGUGACAGUCAGAUGCUGCUAGAGGACAAGAAUUCCUGCCUCCAAGCUACAUUCCUCCUGCAACUUCAAGGCCAGGCUGUAGUGGCCAUUGCCCGCCCCGUAGCACUUCAGUCUGAGAUGGAUCAGUAUGGCAGUGAUACAUCCACACCCCAAAGUGGCACACAUUUCUGGGUAAGAAGAUUUCUCCAGCCUCGCUCCCAGCAGAGGCUGAGAUGAUAUUUCCAGCUUUGUUGCUAUGUCAACUCUCAGCAGCGACCCGCGUCUUGCAUCGGAGCCAAGGCAGCCCAUCCGUCAGCUCCUUGCUAAAGCACAGCGGAGGACCUGCUGUGCUCUGUGGUGAACCUGCCUUGGAUAUCUGAGCUGGGCACAUGCUCUGGACUCUAGGAACUGGAUGCUGGGCACAGGGCACAGCAGGGUGGUCUCCCACUGAGUCCUCCCUAGAGAGGACAGGAAAGAAAUGAACAGGGUCCUUGUGACCAACAUGUGGGGCCUGGACAGCACUGCUCAGAGACAUAGCCAGGUGCUGCGGGAGACCCUGGGCAGGAAGGGAAGAGACCAUGGAAGGAAGGACCCUGGGAGGCUGAACUCCAGGGCAGAGAUUGCAGAGGCAGCCUGGAUUAUAACGAUGGCUUUCCAGCACACUAGCACAGCUCAGGGGCAGACCUUGAGUCCAUCGCACACUUGGCAGGUCCCCAGGUCUGUUUUGACCAUUUUGCAUGAAUGGGCCUGUUGAAUUCUACAACAAAGAAGACAUAGAUUCAUCACUAUCAUCAUUUCAUACAGAAGAAACCAUUCCCAGGAUGCCUAGGUUCACAGAGACGGAAGUUGAGACCCAUUUGCCAAUAUUAUCCAAAGUGGGUGGGACAUGAGCCAGGUCACCUAGUUUGUCAGCUCGAUGAGUUUGGGGUCUGUGAGAGCACUGGUGGGGUGCACUUCUGUGGAGCUGGGGUGAUGGAGAAGUGAUCCUGGGUACUUUACAUGGUCCCUUGCCCCUUCCUCUCUGGUCCUCUCCUCCUCCUCUGCUCCCUGGCAGCCAUGAACUGAGCAGCUCUGCACCCCCAUACCCUUCUGCAUGACUUUGCUACCAUGGACUGGGUGAUCUGAAACCGUGAGCCAAAUUAAGCUUUUCCUCCUUUAAACUGUGAGUGUGGUGGGCCUUGCCCCAGUGAUGGAAAGGCUGCCAGUGUAAUCCUGUUUCCCAGCAUAGGAACUAGGCAUUGGAGCCACCAGGUGCACACAGUCCCACAUCACAGGAGCAGCUGGGGGCUGCACAGUGAUGCAGGCAGAGAUCGAGGGUCAAGUGAACUCUGGAUGCUUAGGGGUUAAGGCAGCUGGGCUGACAGGGCAGAGCAGAUGGCAGGCAGAAGUGCAGGCAAAUGGGAAGGACAGCAGAGGGGAGACAGGGAAAGAGCCUGGAGUCCAGGGAAACAGGGUCUCUGGGAGACAGGUGGAGAAGCUAUGGGGUUAUGGGGAGAGUGGCGUGAGGCAUAGAUUCCGGGUGACAUGGAGUCUCGGAAGCUGAGGGAUGAGAAUCUGGCCAGUGGAGGUUGUAUUGGGACUGGGAGAGCCCAGGACGUCAUCCUGAGAGUGUCACCUUCUCCCACAAGGAGGGGCAGGUGGGGGAGGGGCUGUGGAGAACAGAGAGGGAGAGAGGCCAAGAAGCACCCCACCGCUGCAGGCCUCUUAGGGGGAACAGGACUCCUCCUUUGGGCUCUGUAGGUUUAGUUCUUGAGGUCUGACAGUGUCACGUGCAUGAGCAGGGCCAUGUCUUCUCACCUGUGGAACAGGACUGAUGAGAGGCAGCACAUAAGGACCCCAUGGGGCUGCUGAGCAGAGGUGAGGUGGCUCACUGGGGGCUCUGUGACAAGGAACAUGAGGAAGCUGCAGUGUUGUCAGCAGGGCCUUGGUUGUCCUGGGUCCCAGGCAGGUCCCAUACCACCAUGGAAAUGAGGCUCCCAGGGACCAGGUAGUGCCAAGAAAUCCUCUCGGGGUGGAGGGUCUGGGUCCCCGUGAGUGGACUCUGGAGAAGUGCAGAGAAGUAGUUCCAGCACGGGGGCUACCCUGGCUCUGGGUUCCAGGUGGUGCUCUGCUUACCCUGAGAUGUGCCUCUAUGGGUACAGGAGACCCACAGCAUGCAGACAUGGAAACUAAGGUGCUGGCUGCAUCCCUAGCCCAGACUAAACAAGGGGAAGGCAUCUUGAACUGAGGAUCUGUGUAAUCCCCAAGACAGAUAGAUAGACAGACACACAGUUCUUUGGCUACCUCAGUGCCACAGAGGGACAGACUGACCCCACUGCCCGCUGCCUUGAUGUUUCAGCUAUUUUUUGUCUCUAGGAUAAAAUAUCCAACACCCACAAGUUAAAGGAAUGAAGUUUAUUUUGACUGUCAGUCUGAGGAGGUUUCAGUCCAUAGUGGCCAGCUCCAAGGCAGGGCGGCAUGGCAGAGGCCAGAGGAGAAACAACCCAAGGCAGGGCAGGCAGGAGGUGGCAUCAGCAUUGCAGUGCGCCCCUUUCUUUCUGUCCCUUAAUAUUCCCUCCAGGCUACAAGCCUAUUGAUUGAUGCCCCCGUAUCUAGGGUGGGUUACACACACACAGAACUGUGCUAAACUAAUUUGGUUGUCAUACACCCUUAAUUUGAGUAUCACAUGCCCUAAUCCAUGUCACACAUCCAUGAUCCAGCCAUCUCCCAAAAGCCUUGCCUAUGCACACAUGAGGCUUUCAGGGGACAUCUACAUGCAAACCUUAACAUUUGGUCACUGAGGCUGAAUGCAGGAGGCCAGCAGAAGCAGCGAGCCAGUUACAGAGGGAAGGGACUCUGGAGUGUUCAGGUGGAUGGGGAGUCCUGAGGUCAGCACAGCAGCUUCCUGAUAGACUCCACAGGCCAUGCCUUCCUGCCCGGAUCCCUUUCUCUACACAGCCUGGGGCGCUCCUCUCACUGGGAUGCAUCUGGUAGACAGCUACCAAACAACACAGGAUCUCUCUCCCCUGGGGUCCACUGGUCUGGAGAUGCCACACCAAGACAGUGCCUGGGCUCUGACACCAGGAUGCUUCUCUCAUCUGCAGAGCCACAGGCUCAGUAUCUAAUGCAGCAACCACCAUGUAGAGGCCUGGGGUCCUACAAGUAAAUGGGGACCAUUCCAACCCUGCAGUCCUGCACCAUAAUUCACUGGGGUGCAAACUCAUAGAUGAUGAGGGACAUCAGUUCCUUGGACACCAGGGAGUGCCUGCUCCAUGAAGAAGCAGCUACCAGGAAUUCUUUGACACUGGCAGCUUUUGUUAAGCACACAGCCUUGAACCCCUUCCCAUCCUGCCCAUAGCUGAUGUGGCAGAGGUGAGGAGACCAUGGGCGUGCCCUGCCUCUGGGUCUCUCCUGUGUGGGUUUACAUGACCAGUGGUAACAAAGCCCCGGGCCUGGCAGCCUAACUGUCUCACAUCCCGAGACCUAGAAGGCCAAGGCCAAGGGGUGGACAGUGCUGGUUCCUUUGAGGCCUCUCUCCUGGGCUGUCCACGCUGUUUUCUUUCUGAGUCCUCAGUGGUCUUCCUGCUGGGUCCCACUCUUCCCUCCUUAUAAGAACACCAGAUUAUUUAGGGAUCUCUGUUGAGAAGACUCUGUCCCAAACACACUGAUCUCUCAAGUGCAUCAGAGCUCCAGUGUGUGGGGUUUGACAGACAUGAGUCAGUCUGUGAUGCUCCUCCUUCUCCACUCAGGUCCUGUGUGAUGCUCCUCCAGUCUCACCUCUGCCUCCUCCCCACACUGUCGCUUUGACAUCCAUCCCAGGACCAGAUCUGGGGACACUGGCAGCCCUGGCACACACCAGCGAUGCGAAGGUCGCCUCCUUUCUCUCCCUGUUCCUCUUGUUAGAGAAACCUCCCUAAACUCAGGCGGUGCUUAUCAGGGCUCAGGGUUUCCUGCAGGGAUCCGGGAUGGCAGCCUGCAUGGCGACCGUUCCCACCCAAGCACCUCCAGUUUUGGUUAGAAAGCGAUGCCGAGGCCUAGGCGGGGCGGGAGGGAUGGGGAAGCCAUCCCCAGCCGGAGCGCCAUCCCCAGCUGCUCUGGCUCUCCAUCUUUAGUUGGCUUUAUUAGUGGCUUUAGUUGUUUAGCAAGAUACAUGUGUUUCCGUCUGCCAAAGGAUAGCUCCUUCGUAGUCCUGGGGGGAAUCUCAUCCCAGGGCUGCCACAAGUAGUAAUUUUGAGGUGUUUUUAAUGCUUCUGAGUAUUAAACUUUCAUACUGUUUUUAAAAAUUCA